Molecule: ribosomal RNA, 450 nt
Filed under: uncultured organism
Description: partial 16S ribosomal RNA
Rfam family: Bacterial small subunit ribosomal RNA
Source: RNAcentral
CACUCCUGCGGGAGGCAGCAGUGGGGAAUAUUGGACAAUGGGCGCAAGCCUGAUCCAGCCAUGCCGCGUGAGUGAUGAAGGCCCUAGGGUUGUAAAGCUCUUUCACCGGUGAAGAUAAUGACGGUAACCGGAGAAGAAGCCCCGGCUAACUUCGUGCCAGCAGCCGCGGUAAUACGAAGGGGGCUAGCGUUGUUCGGAUUUACUGGGCGUAAAGCGAACGUAGGCGGACUAUUAAGUCAGGGGUGAAAUCCCGGGGCUCAACCCCGGAACUGCCUUUGAUACUGGUAGUCUUGAGUUCGAGAGAGGUGAGUGGAAUUCCGAGUGUAGAGGUGAAAUUCGUAGAUAUUCGGAGGAACACCAGUGGCGAAGGCGGCUCACUGGCUCGAUACUGACGCUGAGGUGCGAAAGCGUGGGGAGCAAACAGGAUUAGAUACCCGAGUAGUCCCAUGA